CCUACGGGAGGCAGCAGUGGGGAAUAUUGCGCAAUGGGGGCAACCCUGACGCAGCAACGCCGCGUGAUUGAAGAAGGCCUUCGGGUUGUAAAGCUCUUUAAUCGGGGACGAAUUUUGACGGUACCCGAAGAAUCAGAUCCGGCUAAAUACGAGACAGCAGCCGCGGUAAUACGCAGGGAGCAAGCGUUAUCCGGAUUUACUGGGUGUAAAGGGCGUGUAGGCGGGGAUGCAAGCCAGAAGUGAAAUCUGGGGGCUUAACCCCCAAACUGCUUUUGGAACUGGGUGUCUUGAGUGAUGGAGAGGCAGGCGGAAUGCCCAGUGUAGCGGUGAAAUGCGUAGAUAUUGGGAAGAACACCGAUGGCGAAGGCGGCCUGCUGGACAUUAACUGACGCUGAGGCGCGAAAGCGUGGGGAGCAAACAGGAUUAGAUACCCGAGUAGUC
RNAcentral lists this ribosomal RNA (441 nucleotides) under uncultured bacterium. RNAcentral describes it as "partial 16S ribosomal RNA". It matches the Rfam family "Bacterial small subunit ribosomal RNA", at positions 338 to 795 of the family's 1533-position model. The record is from RNAcentral.